This 1263-nucleotide long non-coding RNA is filed under the name Daphnia pulicaria. RNAcentral's name for it is "uncharacterized LOC124311602, transcript variant X1". The record is from RNAcentral. Lineage: Eukaryota; Metazoa; Arthropoda; Branchiopoda; Diplostraca; Daphniidae.
ACCAGGUGACGCGAGUGUCUCCGCAAGUCUUCGUGUUCGUGAGGACGAACUAUUUGCCACAUGUUUCCGAGACGCUGUCCAAAAUCAUUACGGAAUUGGGGUUUCGAUCUAAGUUUUCAGCCAUGAAAUGCAAUCUGGCAUAUAAUUUCACUUCGUCAAAUAAUGUGACGUUGGUUGAAACUGUUGUUCAUUUUGCCGUAAUGUCGGCCAUUUUUAUUAGCUGUACUAUAUACGGUUGUUUGUCUCAUCUCGUGCAGAAACACUUAAGAGCUGUUGAUGUUCAGGUUGUAGACAUAGAUCCCUUUGCCCGACUGUUGCAGAAAUUGAGAACACAACAAAGUCAGAGCUUCAUGGCUGUUGUGUCAUUACUGGGUUCUGUUGCAGCCAGCUGGUGAAAGGUGUGAUCGAGUCAAGUUGAGCUGUAGCUGCUGCAUGCAGUUUAUCAAGCUGGGUUAAAGUGUCACUGAGGAAGACUUCUUGAAUUGGAGUUCAUGAUCAGUUUGAUAUUUGAGCUGAUAUGGUGUUACUGUUUGGUGUUACAGUGGUUUUGCAGUCCCUUUCCAGUUGAGACAUGCCCUCAAAUGGAGCUUGUACAGACUUGCAAUUCAACAUCAUACUUCAAUGUGUCAUUUACUCAUUUGCUUACGUUGGUGUCCAUGCAGUAUAUGCAGUGUUGAGCAGUUGGGUAAAAUAGUCAAUGUUGCCUGAUGGCUGUCGGUCUUAUUUUAUCGGCUGCAUUUUGUCGAUAUAUCGUCUCUUGCUACCUGUACCGGCGUUUAGUUUAAUCGUUUGCUGCCGUUCCAUAUACUUGAUCCAUUGGUAGCACUGAGGAGAGGUUGCUGAAAUUCAAGACUCGUCAUUUCGUCAAUAAAUUAUGUAGAUGUAGAUAUAUAUUACAAGUGCAUAUCUGGGCUCCCUUCCUUAGUGGCCCCGUUUCCCUAAAUAACUACUAACCAACGCCCGCCGGUGGUCACUCACUCGCUGCGACAACCAGGAGGAAGGGAGAUGUUUGGUCGAACGUGGACUUGCAAGGCGCAUGAUUCGAUGAAAUCUGUUGGAGGGUCAUGAAGCCGGAAGCCUACUAUGAUACACUGCCCUCAUAAUAACUGCUCCUCGGGCCUCGGCUCUCUUCGCUCUUUUUCCGGUUUCUCUUAACCAUGGUCGGGUAAUCUCCCUGGUCGAGUCAGUCGAGCAGUGUCUUCCCCUGCUUGACUGGCUGCAGUUGGUACCGGACGCUCUUUUUAAUAAAUUUAAUCUAUCAAU